RNAcentral lists this ribosomal RNA (253 nucleotides) under uncultured bacterium. RNAcentral describes it as "partial 16S ribosomal RNA". It matches the Rfam family "Bacterial small subunit ribosomal RNA", at positions 524 to 776 of the family's 1533-position model. The record is from RNAcentral.
UACGUAGGGUGCGAGCGUUAAUCGGAAUUACUGGGCGUAAAGCGUGCGCAGGCGGUUCGUUGUGUCGGCGGUGAAAGCCCCGGGCUCAACCUGGGAAUGGCCGUUGAAACUGGCGAACUGGAGUGUGGCAGAGGGGGGUGGAAUUCCACGUGUAGCAGUGAAAUGCGUAGAGAUGCGGAGGAACACCGAUGGCGAAGGCAGCCCCCUGGGCUGACACUGACGCUCAGGCACGAAAGCGUGGGGAGCAAACAGG